UCGAAUUUCGAGGGGGAAGAUGGAGGGGAAGACUGUCGCUGGCUUUCACUGGGAAGCAUGUGCACGCCUUUCGUUUCGUCGACCUUUCUCUUACUCUCACACCUGUGCACACAUUGUAGGUCCUCGAAAGAGGAUCUAUGUCUUUAUCAUCACACACAUAGCAUGUCUAGAAUGUAUCAUGAUCGUCGACCGACUUUGCGGUCGGGCGGUGGUCAAACAAAUAAAUAC
RNAcentral lists this unclassified non-coding RNA (228 nucleotides) under Xerocomellus cisalpinus. Its description in RNAcentral is "18S ribosomal RNA". Lineage: Eukaryota; Fungi; Basidiomycota; Agaricomycetes; Boletales; Boletaceae. The record is from RNAcentral.